AGGUCGCUUGUGUAAGUGCUGCUCUCAAGGACACCAAGUUUGGCGCGUAAGGGCGCAAAGAUCUUUUUGACUUGUUGUCAAGACAACUUGCUCGACGGUCCGAUUUUCCUCAUGCUAUACAUCUGCUAAAACCCUGUGCAUCUGCUAUGAGGCCAGAUGUUCGUAAAGUUGUUGAACCAUGCUUUAGUGAAAUAUUCAGGGUUUGUGGACGUGAAAUGUCAUGUGACACAAGUUUUG
Molecule: non-coding RNA, 237 nt
Organism: Sesamum indicum (sesame)
Lineage: Eukaryota; Viridiplantae; Streptophyta; Magnoliopsida; Lamiales; Pedaliaceae
Source: RefSeq, a predicted model, not a curated record